GGCUCAGGAUGAACGCUAGCGGCAGGCUUAAUACAUGCAAGUCGUGGGGCAGCGCAGGUAGCAAUACUGGGCGGCGACCGGCAAACGGGUGCGGAACACGUACACAACCUUCCGAGAAGUGGGGAAUAGCCCAGAGAAAUUUGGAUUAAUACCCCGUAACAUAACGAUGUGGCAUCACAUUGUUAUUAUAGCUUCGGCGCUUCUUGAUGGGUGUGCGGCUGAUUAGAUAGUUGGCGGGGUAACGGCCCACCAAGUCUACGAUCAGUAGCUGAUGUGAGAGCAUGAUCAGCCACACGGGCACUGAGACACGGGCCCGACUCCUACGGGAGGCAGCAGUAAGGAAUAUUGGUCAAUGGACGCAAGUCUGAACCAGCCAUGCCGCGUGAAGGAUUAAGGUCCUCUGGAUUGUAAACUUCUUUUAUCUGGGACGAAAAAAGGCGAUUCUUCGUCACUUGACGGUACCAGAUGAAUAAGCACCGGCUAACUCCGUG
This 491-nucleotide ribosomal RNA is filed under the name uncultured bacterium. RNAcentral's name for it is "bacterial SSU rRNA". It matches the Rfam family "Bacterial small subunit ribosomal RNA", at positions 21 to 507 of the family's 1533-position model. The record is from RNAcentral.